UACGGAGGAUCCAAGCGUUAUCCGGAAUCAUUGGGUUUAAAGGGUCCGUAGGCGGUUUUGUAAGUCAGUGGUGAAAGCCCAUCGCUCAACGGUGGAACGGCCAUUGAUACUGCAAGACUUGAAUUAUUAGGAAGUAACUAGAAUAUGUAGUGUAGCGGUGAAAUGCUUAGAGAUUACAUGGAAUACCAAUUGCGAAGGCAGGUUACUACUAAUAUAUUGACGCUGAUGGACGAAAGCGUGGGGAGCAAACAGG
This 253-nucleotide ribosomal RNA is filed under the name uncultured bacterium. RNAcentral describes it as "partial 16S ribosomal RNA". It matches the Rfam family "Bacterial small subunit ribosomal RNA", at positions 524 to 776 of the family's 1533-position model. The record is from RNAcentral.